AACGAACGCUGGCGACAGGCCUAACACAUGCAAGUCGAACGCUCCGCAAGGGGGAGUGGCGCACGGGUGAGUAACACGUGGGAACCUACCUUCUGGUACGGAACAACCAAGGGAAACUUUGGCUAAGACCGUAUACGACCUCCGGGUGAAAGAUUGAUCGCCGGAAGAGGGGCCCGCGUCCGAUUAGGUAGUUGGUGAGGUAACGGCUCACCAAGCCUUCGAUCGGUAGCUGGUCUGAGAGGAUGACCAGCCACACUGGGACUGAGACACGGCCCAGACUCCUACGGGAGGCAGCAGUGGGGAAUAUUGGACAAUGGGCGCAAGCCUGAUCCAGCCAUGCCGCGUGAGUGAUGAAGGCCUUC
This 362-nucleotide ribosomal RNA is filed under the name uncultured bacterium. RNAcentral describes it as "bacterial SSU rRNA". It matches the Rfam family "Bacterial small subunit ribosomal RNA", at positions 29 to 419 of the family's 1533-position model. The record is from RNAcentral.